AACGGUAUACAGCUCUUCGUGUAUUGUAGAGAGUGGCGAACGGGUGCAGNUAACACGUAGGUAAUCNUGCCUUUUGGGCGGGGGAUAGUUUAUGGAAACAUAGAGUAAUACCGCAUAAGGUUUAAUCACGUCUGUGGUUAAAUGAAAGGUCCAAUUGGAUCGCCUGGAGAUGAGCCUGCGGCUCAUUAGCUAGUUGGUGGGGUAAAGGCCUACCAAGGCGACGAUGAGUAGCCGGCCUGAGAGGGUGAACGGCCACACUGGGACUGAGACACGGCCCAGACUCCUACGGGAGGCAGCAGCUAAGAAUCUUCCGCAAUGGGCGAAAGCCUGACGGAGCGACGCCGCGUGAACGAAGAAGGCCUAACGGUUGUAAAGUUCUUUUCUUGGGGAAGAAUAAUGAGUGGAGUGGAAAGCCAUUCAGAUGACAUUAACCUUGGAAUAAGCCCCGGCCAAUUACGUGCCAGCAGCCGCGGUAAUACGUAAGGGGCAAGCGUUGUUCGGAAUUAUUGGGCGUAAAGGGCGUGUAGGCGGUUUUAUAAGCCANAUGUGAAAAAUCCCGGCUCAACUGGGGGAGCGCGUCUGGAACUGUAAGACUAGAGUUUCAGGAAGGGAAGCUGGA
Molecule: ribosomal RNA, 619 nt
Filed under: uncultured spirochete
Lineage: Bacteria; Pseudomonadati; Spirochaetota; Spirochaetia; Spirochaetales
Description: bacterial SSU rRNA
Rfam family: Bacterial small subunit ribosomal RNA
Source: RNAcentral